This 460-nucleotide ribosomal RNA is filed under the name uncultured bacterium. RNAcentral's name for it is "partial 16S ribosomal RNA". It matches the Rfam family "Bacterial small subunit ribosomal RNA", at positions 338 to 795 of the family's 1533-position model. The record is from RNAcentral.
CCUACGGGAGGCAGCAGUGAGGAAUCUUGGUCAAUGGGCGCGAGCCUGACCCAGCCAAGUCUCGUGAAGGAUGACUGCCCUACGGGUUGUAAACUUCUUUUAUAAAGGAAUAAAGUGAGGCACGUGUGCUUUUUUGUAUGUACUUUAUGAUUAAGGAUCGGCUAACUCCGUGCCAGCAGCCGCGGUAAUACGGAGGAUCCGAGCGUUAUCCGGAUUUAUUGGGUUUAAAGGGAGCGUAGAUGGGUUGUUAAGUCAGUUGUGAAAAUUUGCGGCUCAACCGUAAAAGUGCAAUUGAUACUGGAAGUCUUGAGUACAGUUGAGGUAGGCGGAAUUCGUGGUGUAGCGGUGAAAUGCUUAGAUAUCACGAAGAACUCCGAUUGCGAAGGCAGCUUACUAAACUGCCACUGACAUUGAUGCUCGAAAGUGUGGGUAUCAAACAGGAUUAGAUACCCUGGUAGUC